UACGAAGGGGGCGAGCGUUGUUCGGAGUUACUGGGCGUAAAGGGCGCGUAGGCGGCGAUCCAAGUUAGGCGUGAAAUCCCUGGGCUCAACCCAGGAACUGCGUCCGAUACUGGUUGGCUUGAAUUCGGGAGAGGGAUGUGGAAUUCCAGGUGUAGCGGUGAAAUGCGUAGAUAUCUGGAGGAACACCGGUGGCGAAGGCGGCAUCCUGGACCGAUAUUGACGCUGAUGCGCGAAAGCCAGGGGAGCAAACGGG
This 253-nucleotide ribosomal RNA is filed under the name uncultured bacterium. RNAcentral describes it as "partial 16S ribosomal RNA". It matches the Rfam family "Bacterial small subunit ribosomal RNA", at positions 524 to 776 of the family's 1533-position model. The record is from RNAcentral.